GGGUGUGAUCAUACCAGCAUUAAUGCACCGGAUCCCAUCAGAACUCCGCAGUUAAGCGUGCUUGGGCGAGAGUAGUACUAGGAUGGGUGACCUCUUGGGAAGUCCUCGUGGUGCACCCC
Ribosomal RNA from Gossypium raimondii (Peruvian cotton), 119 nucleotides. NCBI's taxonomy places the organism in Eukaryota, Viridiplantae, Streptophyta, Magnoliopsida, Malvales, Malvaceae. The record is from Rfam.